This 210-nucleotide small nucleolar RNA is filed under the name Castor canadensis (American beaver). Its description in RNAcentral is "Small nucleolar RNA U3 (ENSCCNG00000030832.1)". It matches the Rfam family "Small nucleolar RNA U3". Rfam says of the family: Small nucleolar RNAs (snoRNAs) are involved in the processing and modification of rRNA in the nucleolus. There are two main classes of snoRNAs: the box C/D class, and the box H/ACA class. U3 snoRNA is a member of the box C/D class. The record is from Rfam by way of RNAcentral. Lineage: Eukaryota; Metazoa; Chordata; Mammalia; Rodentia; Castoridae.
UCGACUAUACUUUCAGGGAUCGUUUCUAUGGUUCGUUCCUAAGGAAGUUUCUCUGGUCGUGUAGUGUACCAGAGACCACAUGGAGGAGAUACAACGUCCUCACCUGAGUGUGAAGCCAGCUGGCGGUGCUGCCGCUUUGCAGCUAUUUGCAAUGGGUGAUCAUUCUUCUCCUUUGGAGGAGCAAGAGGGUGAGGAUGUCAUCUGAGUGGU